This 305-nucleotide ribosomal RNA is filed under the name uncultured bacterium. RNAcentral's name for it is "bacterial SSU rRNA". It matches the Rfam family "Bacterial small subunit ribosomal RNA", at positions 334 to 654 of the family's 1533-position model. The record is from RNAcentral.
UUUUCCUACGGGACGCAGCAGUGGGGGAUAUUGCACAAUGGGGGAAACCCUGAUGCAGCGACGCCGCGUAGGCGAAGAAGUAUUUCGGUAUGUAAAGCCCUAUCAGCAGGGAAGAAGAAAUGACGGUACCUGAGUAAGAAGCACCGGCUAAAUACGUGCCAGCAGCCGCGGUAAUACGUAUGGUGCAAGCGUUAUCCGGAUUUACUGGGUGUAAAGGGAGCGUAGGCGGCGCGUUAAGUCUGAUGUGAAAACCCGAGGCUCAACCACGGGAGUGCAUUGGAAACUGGCGGGCUGGAGUGCCGGAG